AUUGAACGCUGGCGGCAUGCUUUACACAUGCAAGUCGAACGGUAACAGGCCGCAAGGUGCUGACGAGUGGCGAACGGGUGAGUAAUGCAUCGGAACGUGCCCAGUCGUGGGGGAUAACUACUCGAAAGAGUAGCUAAUACCGCAUACGAUCUAUGGAUGAAAGCGGGGGACCGUAAGGCCUCGCGCGAUUGGAGCGGCCGAUGUCAGAUUAGGUAGUUGGUGGGGUAAAGGCUCACCAAGCCAACGAUCUGUAGCUGGUCUGAGAGGACGACCAGCCACACUGGGACUGAGACACGGCCCAGACUCCUACGGGAGGCAGCAGUGGGGAAUUUUGGACAAUGGGCGCAAGCCUGAACCAGCAAUGCCGCGUGCAGGAAGAAGGCCUUCGGGUUGUAAACUGCUUUUGUACGGAACGAAACGGCUCUGGUUAAUACCCGGGGCUAAUGACGGUACCGUAAGAAUAAGCACCGGCUAACUACGUG
Molecule: ribosomal RNA, 482 nt
Filed under: uncultured bacterium
Lineage: Bacteria
Description: partial 16S ribosomal RNA
Rfam family: Bacterial small subunit ribosomal RNA
Source: RNAcentral